RNAcentral lists this small RNA (23 nucleotides) under Arabidopsis thaliana (thale cress). Its description in RNAcentral is "ATSL007280". The record is from RNAcentral. Lineage: Eukaryota; Viridiplantae; Streptophyta; Magnoliopsida; Brassicales; Brassicaceae.
UUAGAACCUGCAGAAACCAAAAU